CUUUUAACCUAUGUGAAGGGAGCAAGGGAAUCAAAUUGAAACAUAACAGGAGAAGUAAAAUUAGGUUACAGCAAGGCAAAAUUAGUAAAGAAAUCUGAAUGAAGAACUGUGAAAUCCGAAUGACGAGUCGUGAAUUCAGAACAACUCGACGAAACGUGAAAUCCGAACAAAGCAAAAAAGCAAGAACGGUGGCUAUUGUCGAUUAGGAAAACGAUACCUUGAAGCGAUAAUGGCUGAACUCACUGAGCAUAAACACAAUUUUCGAGAGCGAUUUCCGAAGGGAUUGUGGAAAUUGGGAAAUUGAGAGUGAAGAUUGUGCUGUCGCUGAAGAAAGAAAUUGCGAAGCUAUUCUAAAAAUUGAGAGAUUGGAAGGUUCUGAAAUAGGGAAAUUGAGAAAGUGAAAUAAGAAAGGAGAAGACGAGUGAACAAAUAGCGCGUAUGUUUAAAU
This 448-nucleotide long non-coding RNA is filed under the name Trifolium pratense (red clover). RNAcentral's name for it is "long non-coding RNA (TPRA_LNC001098)". The record is from RNAcentral. Lineage: Eukaryota; Viridiplantae; Streptophyta; Magnoliopsida; Fabales; Fabaceae.